AGAGUUUGAUCCUGGCUCAGGACGAACGCUGGCGGCGUGCUUAACACAUGCAAGUCGAACGAGACGAUUGAAAGCUUGCUUUUGAAAGUCGAGUGGCAAACGGGUGAGUAACGCGUAGACAACCUGCCGUAAAGAUGGGGACAACAGUCCGAAAGGACUGCUAAUACCGAAUGUUGUGGAACUCCCGCAUGGAAGCUCCACUAAAGAUGGCCUCUACUUGUAAGCUAUCGCUUUACGAUGGGUCUGCGUCUGAUUAGCUAGUUGGUGGGGUAACGGCCUACCAAGGCGACGAUCAGUAGCCGGUCUGAGAGGAUGAACGGCCACAUUGGAACUGANACACNGUCCAGANUCCUACGGGAGGCAGCANNGGGGAAUCUUCCGCAUGGGCNCANGCUGACGGANCACNCC
This 408-nucleotide ribosomal RNA is filed under the name uncultured bacterium. RNAcentral's name for it is "partial 16S ribosomal RNA". It matches the Rfam family "Bacterial small subunit ribosomal RNA", at positions 8 to 398 of the family's 1533-position model. The record is from RNAcentral.